GGACAGGUGGGUGAGUGGUUAAAGCCAACAGACUGUAAAUCUGUCCCUCCUUGGAGGUACGAAGGUUCGAAUCCUUCCCUGUCCACCA
RNAcentral lists this transfer RNA (88 nucleotides) under Acidobacteriaceae bacterium. RNAcentral's name for it is "tRNA-Tyr". It matches the Rfam family "tRNA". Rfam says of the family: Transfer RNA (tRNA) molecules are approximately 80 nucleotides in length. Their secondary structure includes four short double-helical elements and three loops (D, anti-codon, and T loops). Further hydrogen bonds mediate the characteristic L-shaped molecular structure. tRNAs have two regions of fundamental functional importance: the anti-codon, which is responsible for specific mRNA codon recognition, and the 3' end, to which the tRNAs corresponding amino acid is attached (by aminoacyl-tRNA synthetases). tRNAs cope with the degeneracy of the genetic code in two manners: having more than one tRNA (with a specific anti-codon) for a particular amino acid; and 'wobble' base-pairing, i.e. permitting non-standard base-pairing at the 3rd anti-codon position. The record is from RNAcentral. Lineage: Bacteria; Pseudomonadati; Acidobacteriota; Terriglobia; Terriglobales; Acidobacteriaceae.